UUAUCCCUGCGAUGCGCGAGGGAAAAGGACGAUUUUGAGCCAACACCAUAACACUGGGAGCCUGGCUUUAGAUGCGGCUGUAGACCUUGUUUACAACGAUAAGGGAACAUUAACCAUCUAAGAGGGCACCCACUUAUUUAAUGGGUUCAAAAUGCAGUCUUUUCUACGGCAUUAGCGGGGAUUUU
RNAcentral lists this non-coding RNA (185 nucleotides) under Candidatus Omnitrophota bacterium. RNAcentral's name for it is "Candidatus Omnitrophica bacterium 6S RNA". It matches the Rfam family "6S / SsrS RNA". From Rfam's summary of the family: E. coli 6S RNA was the first non coding RNA to be sequenced, but its function was unknown until recently. The record is from RNAcentral. Lineage: Bacteria; Pseudomonadati; Candidatus Omnitrophota.